This 506-nucleotide ribosomal RNA is filed under the name uncultured bacterium. RNAcentral describes it as "partial 16S ribosomal RNA". It matches the Rfam family "Bacterial small subunit ribosomal RNA", at positions 31 to 523 of the family's 1533-position model. The record is from RNAcentral.
AUAGAACGCUGGCGGUAUGCUUAACACAUGCAAGUCGAACGGCAGCAUGGUCUAGCUUGCUAGACUGAUGGCGAGUGGCGGACGGGUGAGUAACGCGUAGGAAUAUGCCUUGAAGAGUGGGACAACUUGGGGAAACUCAAGCUAAUACCGCAUGUACUCGAGUGAGUAAAGCUGGGGACCUUUAGGCCUGGCGCUUUAAGAUUAGCCUGCGUCCGAUUAGCUAGUUGGUAGGGUAAAGGCCUACCAAGGCGACGAUCGGUAGCUGGUCUGGGCGGAUGAUCAGCCACACUGGAACUGAGAGACGGUCCAGACUCCUACGGGAGGCAGCAGUGGGGAAUAUUGGACAAUGGGGGGAACCCUGAUCCAGCAAUGCCGCGUGUGUGAAGAAGGCCUGAGGGUUGUAAAGCACUUUCAGUGGGGAGGAGGUUUGGAAGGUUAAGAGCUAUUCAAAUGGACGUUACCCACAGAAGAAGCACCGGCUAACUCCGUGCCAGCAGCCGCAGUAA